Molecule: non-coding RNA, 968 nt
Filed under: Hemidactylus farasani (Farasan gecko)
Lineage: Eukaryota; Metazoa; Chordata; Lepidosauria; Squamata; Gekkonidae
Description: 12S ribosomal RNA
Rfam family: Bacterial small subunit ribosomal RNA
Source: RNAcentral
AUAACGUCUUGGUCCUAAACUUGGUGUUAUUUGAUACCGACCAUACACAUGCAAGUCUCCGCACUCCUGUGCCAACGCCUACCCCACACACACAGAGCUGACAUCAGGCACGUCAACCAGACAGCCCAUGACGCCUAGCCAAUGCCACACCCCCACGGACCCCAGCAGUGAUUAACAUUAAGACAUAAGCCACAAAACCCUAAAGCUUGACUUAGGCACGGCACUCAGGGCCGGUAAACACCGUGCCAGCCACCGCGGUUAUACGAUGAGCCCAAAAUAACACCACACGGCGUAAAAUGUGACUAGAAAGACUUUUAACGAGGAACCACGAUCAAAACUUGUAGCACAGAAAUAAAACCCUCAUACUACACAGAACCACAACCAACUCUCCUCCAACAAAAUCUUUUGACCACACGAAACCUAAGACACAAACUAGGAUUAGAUACCCUACUAUGCUUAGAAGUAAACCAAGGCAGUCAACCCAACCCCCUGCCCGCCAGAGAACUACAAGCGAAAAGCUUAAAACUCAAAGGACUUGACGGCAUUCCACAUCACACUAGAGGAGCCUGUCCUAUAAUCGAUAACCCACGUUUAACCUCACCUGUUCUCGCACACACCAGCCUAUAUACCGCCGCCUCCAGCCCGCCUUACAAAAGCACCAACAGCGAGCAAAACAGUCCUUAACACUAACACGUCAGGUCAAGGUGUAGCUAACGCACAGGCAGAGAUGGGCUACAUUUUCUCAACCAAAAGAAAACCACCACCCGCACCAUGAAACAAGUGCACAAAGGAGGAUUUAGCAGUAAGCCACGCAAGCCUGCGUGACUGAACCGUGCCCUGGAAUGUGUACACACCGCCCGUCACCCUCAUCCAAGCCAACAACGAAAAGUUAUAUAACACCACACAACAAUACAAGAUGAGACAAGUCGUAACAAGGUAAGUGCACUGGAAAGUACACUUGGCACACC